UUUUUUUUUUACCACAAAGCCGGUUUAGGUGGUUCUUAGCUAUGAACAAGAUAGAAAACCCAGAACUAAAAACGUAUGUCUCAGUAAUAAAAAAAUGGAUUGCAUGUACGUAUGGACCACAGCCUAUACAUUUGGAAUAUAAGAUUAAACUUUCGGGAAAUAGUCCAGUUGGAAAUGCGUGUUAUGAUGUGUUGGUGGAUGUCCGGUUUCCAGUUGCAAAGGGAACUGAAUGCUUUACUAGCUGCUACUGAGAAAGGUAAAGAGAUUGAAGCUUGUGAUGAAGCGAUAUGUACUUCAAUUAGGAAGAUUAAUGAACAUCGUAAAAGGCGAGCUUUUUUCCUUGGGUUCAGUCAGUCACUUGUUGAGUUUAUCGAUGCUUUGAUUGAAUCGCAAGGAAGAGAUCUGAAGCUUGCAGCAGGGGAAGCAAGCCGUAACGCUGAAAAAGAAGCCCGUGCUGAGUUCUACAAUCAGCCAUGAUCAUUUGUUUUUUAGUACUCCUACACCAAAGGAUUUUGUAAUUUGAAUAAAGAAUGACAUGAGUGUUUUGCCACACAUUGGUGCUCUAAGAGAGCGGCAACGCGCGGGCAUUCCCACUAGCUGCCACUGACAAAGGUAAAGAGAUUGAAGCUUGUGAUGAAGCGAUAUGUACUUCAAUUAGGAAGAUUAAUGAACAUCGUAAAAGGCGAGCUUUUUUCCUUGGGUAGCAGUAAGGCCAAACGAGGUUGGUAAGAAGAAACAAUUAUUUUUAGUUUUGUUUUUUUAUUUUUUUUUGGAUUUGCUUAACAUCGUUUUGUUUUGUAAUGGGGCGAUCCUAUAUAAUUUUAAAAUUUCGGACGAAAAAUCGAAAAUUUUACACUUCUAACCGAAACAUUGGGGGGCGGAUGCACCCCUCGGUUCCCACUAAGCUCCGCCCCUGAAUGUAAGGUAAAAUGUAAUUUCUUUUUUCUUUCUGUAUUUUUAGGUUUAGUAUAUCCAAAAUAUUUAUGUGUCUACUGAGGCGAUAAUAUAUGCAGAUCUUUUGAUGAUAAUGCCAUGGCACCAUCUCAUAACUGGGAGUGAAUAAAAGUUUGAGUUAUUUAUAGUAAUAUAACUGGAAAAAGAACAAGAUUUGAAUUUUGAUUUCACCUGGCCUUGAAACUAUUUAUGUGAGAAUCAUAGCUUACUUUUAAACCUAAUAUUUCCAUUAUGCAACUUGUGUCAAUGAUGACAUGGUUAUGGUUAAGGUCAGUUCUCUUAAAGCAUGGAUUAGCACUACUGUUAUCUUUCAGUCUUGAAACUAGAGACGGCAAAACGGACCUGUUAGGUGGGUUGGAUAACAAUUCAAAAUGGGUAGAUUUUUUAGCAGGUUGAGUUGGGUUGACCCGCUAACGUUUAUAUAUAAAUGUACUGUUUUUAUUAAUCUAGAUUAUUAAUGGUUUCUUUUCUUCAGUUAAAUGCAGACGUGGAUCGGAAAUGAUUGGUCGUGGCUUGUUCAUGAAGAAGGCUCAGUGAAGGGACGAACAAAUUUGUCGAGCUGGUUUUUUUGUAUAUAUAAAUUUACUACAAGAGUUGCAAAUAAAUAGUGUAACUGAUACAUUCUGUAGUUCGCUUUAUAUGGUCUUCAAAUGAUUGGUCAUGGCUUGUUCAUGAAGAAGGCUCAGCGAAGGGAGAAACAAAUUUGUCGAGCUGGUUUUUUUGUAUAGAUAAAUUUACUACAAGAGUUGCAAAUAAAUAGGGUAAUGGAUACAUUCUGUAGUUCGCUUUAUAUCUAUUUCAAAUGAUUGGUGGUGGCUUGUUCAGGAAA
This is an RNA transcript of Helianthus annuus (common sunflower), 1783 nucleotides long. It is a transcript of the gene named SWI/SNF complex component SNF12 homolog, with no coding region annotated. The record is from RefSeq and is a predicted model, not a curated record. The transcript has 3 exons. Lineage: Eukaryota; Viridiplantae; Streptophyta; Magnoliopsida; Asterales; Asteraceae.